This 408-nucleotide ribosomal RNA is filed under the name uncultured bacterium. RNAcentral's name for it is "partial 16S ribosomal RNA". It matches the Rfam family "Bacterial small subunit ribosomal RNA", at positions 28 to 526 of the family's 1533-position model. The record is from RNAcentral.
GACGAACGCUGGCGGCGUGCUUAACACAUGCAAGUCGAACGAAGUGGCGAACGGGUGAGUAACGCGUAAUCAACCUGCCCUUCCUAGGGGUACAACAGUUGGAAACGACUGCUAAUACCGCAUACUGAAGGAGGGGAUUGCGUCUGAUUAGCUAGUUGGAGGGGUAACGGCCCACCAAGGCGAUGAUCCGUAGCCGGUCUGAGAGGAUGAACGGCCACAUUGGGACUGAGACACGGCCCAGACUACUACGGGAGGCAGCAGUGGGGAAGCUUCCGCAAUGGACGAAAGUCUGACGAAGCAACGCCGCGUGAGUGAUGACGGCCUUCGGGUUGUAAAGCUCUGUUAAUCGGGACGCGGUACCGGAAUAGAAAGCCACGGCUAACUACGUGCCAGCAGCCGCGGUAAUAC